Long non-coding RNA from Erinaceus europaeus (western European hedgehog), 2597 nucleotides. RefSeq lists it as uncharacterized. NCBI's taxonomy places the organism in Eukaryota, Metazoa, Chordata, Mammalia, Eulipotyphla, Erinaceidae. The record is from RefSeq and is a predicted model, not a curated record. The transcript is spliced from 2 exons.
ACAGGAUCAUGUAGACAGUAAAGUGGUGGUGGGCAGCCUGGUCUUACUCAUGGUCCAAGAGAGGAAGCUUUUCAGGUUUUCAUCACUGGGUGUUUUCAUCACAGCUGAGGACUCCACCGGCAUGAGACACCUAUGAGGGGUAGUGUCCCCAAUGGACUGGGGAGAGAGGACAGACAAAGACACCCUCUGCUGAAGACCGGCCAUGACUUGUGCUGUGGGUCUGGGUGGCUUCAUCCUGUGUCCCCUGACAACUGAUGGAGAAAAAUGUGAUUCACUAUUGUGCUACUGGCCAUCUUGGCACGCCCCCCCCUACCCAAACCCACUCCUCCCAUGGAUGCUGACCUUCCCUACAGAAUGAAGCAACUCUUUAUUGUCAAGACACUGAACACUGCUGGGUGGGGUGCGGAGGGGACGAGGGGGUGACUGCAGAGAGACAGGUUUAGCUGGGGCUGCAGUGGGCCGGGGCAGGGGAUGAAGGGGGGACUCAUGGGUGGCAUGAGUGACAGCAUGCCUUGGCCACACACAAGAGGCUCCUGGGGACAUUUUGUGUCUUCUGGGGGCUCCUUCUCUGUGUGUGCUCCUUCACCAGGUCAGUAAGACAGGACCCAGGGGUGUGGGCACAGCAUCCAUGGUGAUGCAAGGAAAUUGGGUUUUCUGGAAAGUGACCCAAAGACAAGGCCUUUGAUUCUCAGGGGUCCUGGACCACCUGCUGAGCUGGUGGCAAUGUCUCUCUCUGCACCACUGAUUGACUCCCAUUUCAACACCCUCGAGUCCUUUGAAAGAUCACAAAAGUUCCAGCUGGCUUGCACCCUUACACACUUGUCCUCCAAUCCCUGAACCAAGUGUGGAGACACACUUUUUUUUUUUUUUUUUGUGACUUAAUAUUGACUUACAGAAUUGUAAGACAACAGGGGUAUAAUUCCACACCGUCCCCACCACCAGAGCUCUGUGUCCCCAUUCCCUCCCUUGGAAACUGCAGUGGUUCUCCCAAGGGCACAGAUAAAAGUUGACUAUGAUUUCUAUAACUAUAUUUUUAUAUAGUUGUCUAUUUUUUCAUAGCCAUGCUUUCUCUUCCUAAGUCACACCUACACUUUUACUACUUCUUCCUCUUCCUUUUCUCCUCCUCCUUCUCCUCUUUCUUCUCCUUCUUCUUCCCUCAAGGGUUAUCGCUGGGAUUUGGUGCCCACACUAUGAAUCCACUGCUCCUGGAGGCUAUAUUUUUCCUUUUGUUGCCCUUGUUUUAUCAUUGUUGUUGUGGCUGUCACUGUUGUUGGAUAGGACAGAGAGAAAUCGAUAGAGGAGGGGAAGACAGAGAGGGGGAGAGAAAGACAGACCUGCUUGACUGCCUGUGAAGCAAUGCCCCCUCCCUGCAGGUGGGGAGCCAGGGGCUUGAACCGGGAUCCUUACAGUGGCCCUUGUGCUUCACACCAUGUGUGCUUACCCCACUGCACCAUCACCCAGCCCCCACACCUACACCUCUUACUACUUCUGAGUGUCCUUUCUUUUUGUCCUCUUCUCUCUCUGGGUCCUGAUGGAACUGGAGUCAGAGCCCUCUGGUCAUCUUCCCCUAGGUAUUUCUCCUCCUCUGGGAGUAUAGACCAGAAUUCUUUAUGGGGUGCAGAAGGUGGGAGGGCUAGCUUUUGUAAUUGCUUCUCUGAUGGACAUGGGUGUUGGCAGGUGGAUCCUAACGCCCAGCCUGAAAACAAACUUUUACUGUGGAAACCCCACUGGUACUAGGAACUGCCUGAAGAGGACCAAGUUGUUGGUUGAUCGUUUACUUACUUAUUUUUGCCUGCCAGGGUCUCACACUUAAGCAACUACAAUGCUACUGGAAGACUUUUUGAUAUAUAUAUAUAUAUAUAUUUUUUUUUUAUUUAUUAAAAAAGAUAGGGGAGAGAGAGAGAGAGAUUACUCUAGGAUAUGCACUACUAGGGAUCAAACUCAGGACCUCAGACUCAAGAGUCCAAUACUUUAUCCAAUGUGCCACCUUCCAGAUCAUUCCUGGUGGGUCUUUAAACUUUGUUUUUUUAUGCUACCAAAAUAGUUAUUGCUAGCUAUCAUUUUAAAAACAGAAUGGAGAAAAAUUGAGAGGGAAGGGGGAGAUAGGGAGAGAGACAGAGAAACAUCUGCAGCCCUGUUUCACUGCUCAUGAAGCUUCCUCCCCACAGGUGGGGAGUGGGGGCUUGAACCUGGGUCCUUGUACACGUAGUUAUAUCUUUAUCUUUCUUUCCUUCUGUCUUUAUUUCUUCCUUUCUUCCCUUUCCCUCUCUGCUUCCUUCCCACUCUUCCUUUCUUUCAUUAACCUAGAGAGAAAGAAGAGAGCCACCACUCCAUCAUUCAUGGAGCUUCCUGACACUGUUCCUGAUGCUCCCAUGUGGUACCAGGGGAUCGAUCCUCAAGCAUGAGCAAGUGUGCGCUCUACUGACUGAGCUAUCUCCCCAUACAAGGCUGUUGUUGUCAAUCUCAGACUGUGUCUUCCGGACCCCAGCCUCCCCGGAAAUGCAGUCGGUCAGUGUGUGAAGUCCCCGCCCCAGUUUCACAUCCUAGAGUCACAGCGCAGUCCACACUGUCCCCAACUCCCUCCCCUGUUGGAGAAG